GAGAGUAGUGUUUCAUAGAGUCAUUUUCUUCUUCUGCUGCAAUUCUUAUAGGGACAUCGAUCGGUUCGCUGUAGAUCUAGAUCUAUCUUCACACAUGACGCAAGCUGUGACAUAUAUAUCUUGCUCAGUGGAAAUCAGGAUGCUCAACGUUUGGUUCCGUGUGCUGCAAGCCAAAUGCCGAGGCGACUGGGAUCAUGAGCCCCUCAUUAGGUGUUUGUAAGUUGCCUCAACUGAAUGCUUUUGAUUUUCAUAAUUUCAUUUGAUUGAAGGAAACUGAAUCUCUACAUUGUUUCGCCUAUUUGAAGAAAAUGUAGACAAAUCACAUGUAACAAUUAAUCAUGUUGACUAUAUUCUUGAUGUUUAAAAUUUAGAGGGGAAUUAGGGAACGUUCAUGAAGCAGAUCACAACCAGACUUUUGUUGAUGGUAAGUGUUUGAGCUUGUUGGCAAUUUGGCAUUAGGGAACGAGUUCAGAAAUUAGAUUCCAAUCAAAUUAGGAGUAUUGAAUUUGAAUUUGAAUUUGGAUUGUCAGGUUUCAGUUACUAAAAGUCAAAAGUUUACAGCAGUACUGCUACAUUGCUAUCAGAAAAUAUAUCUAGAGCUAGUAUAUGGUGUAGAGCUAUAGAGAUUUUGUCUGUAAUUGCUUGUGGGUGUUAAUCUGCCUAACUCAUCCACAUUGUAACGGUAUUUAGUAAUGUUCCACCUGAAUAUGGAUAGUACUACAGCUUCUUUCCUUUC
Molecule: long non-coding RNA, 736 nt
Organism: Rosa chinensis
Lineage: Eukaryota; Viridiplantae; Streptophyta; Magnoliopsida; Rosales; Rosaceae
Exons: 2
Source: RefSeq, a predicted model, not a curated record